This 68-nucleotide transfer RNA is filed under the name unidentified. RNAcentral's name for it is "Exostira schroederi tRNA-Trp". The record is from RNAcentral.
UAAGGAUUUAAGUUAAACCAAACUAAUAACCUUCAAAGUUGUAAAUAGAAAGCUAUUCUAAGCCUUAG